This 422-nucleotide ribosomal RNA is filed under the name uncultured bacterium. RNAcentral's name for it is "partial 16S ribosomal RNA". It matches the Rfam family "Bacterial small subunit ribosomal RNA", at positions 359 to 774 of the family's 1533-position model. The record is from RNAcentral.
AAGUUUGGACAAUGGGGGAAACCCUGAUCCAGCCAUCCCGCGUGUAUGAUGAAGGCCUUCGGGUUGUAAUGUACUUUUGUCAGAGAAGAAAAGGUAUCUCCUAAUACGAGAUACUGCUGACGGUAUCUGCAGAAUAAGCACCGCCGCACUACGUGCCAGCAGCCGCGGUAAGACGUAGGGUGCAAGCGUUAAUCGGAAUUACUGGGCGUAAAGCGUGUGUAGGCGGUUCGGAAAGAAAGAAGUGAAAUCCCAGGGCUCAACCUUGGAACUGCAUUUUUAAAUGCCGGGCUAGAGUAUGUCAGAGGGGGGUAGAAUUCCACGUGUAGCAGUGAAAUGAGUAGAUAUGUGGAGGAAUACCGAUGGCGAAGGCAGCCCCCUGGGAUAAUACUGACGCUCAGACACGAAAGCGUGGGGAGCAAACA